RNAcentral lists this ribosomal RNA (1063 nucleotides) under Salmonella enterica subsp. enterica serovar Agona str. 400095 18. RNAcentral describes it as "bacterial LSU rRNA". It matches the Rfam family "Bacterial large subunit ribosomal RNA", at positions 1 to 1003 of the family's 2925-position model. Lineage: Bacteria; Pseudomonadati; Pseudomonadota; Gammaproteobacteria; Enterobacterales; Enterobacteriaceae. The record is from RNAcentral.
GGUUAAGCGACUAAGCGUACACGGUGGAUGCCCUGGCAGUCAGAGGCGAUGAAGGGCGUGCUAAUCUGCGAUAAGCGCCGGUAAGGUGAUAUGAACCGUUAUAACCGGCGAUACCCGAAUGGGGAAACCCAGUGUGACUCGUCACACUAUCAUUAACUGAAUCCAUAGGUUAAUGAGGCGAACCGGGGGAACUGAAACAUCUAAGUACCCCGAGGAAAAGAAAUCAACCGAGAUUCCCCCAGUAGCGGCGAGCGAACGGGGAGGAGCCCAGAGCCUGAAUCAGCAUGUGUGUUAGUGGAAGCGUCUGGAAAGGCGCGCGAUACAGGGUGACAGCCCCGUACACAAAAGCGCAUGUGCUGUGAGCUCGAUGAGUAGGGCGGGACACGUGGUAUCCUGUCUGAAUAUGGGGGGACCAUCCUCCAAGGCUAAAUACUCCUGACUGACCGAUAGUGAACCAGUACCGUGAGGGAAAGGCGAAAAGAACCCCGGCGAGGGGAGUGAAAAAGAACCUGAAACCGUGUACGUACAAGCAGUGGGAGCCCCACCACCAAAGCAUUCUCUGGUGUUGAAGGCCCUGCAAAGCAGCAUCGCGGUGGCGGAGCGUCGUUUGCGACGCCCAACACACAAAACAAGCGGUGAGUGCUUUGGGGUGGGGUGACUGCGUACCUUUUGUAUAAUGGGUCAGCGACUUAUAUUCUGUAGCAAGGUUAACCGAAUAGGGGAGCCGGAGGGAAACCGAGUCUUAAUUGGGCGUUAAGUUGCAGGGUAUAGACCCGAAACCCGGUGAUCUAGCCAUGGGCAGGUUGAAGGUUGGGUAACACUAACUGGAGGACCGAACCGACUAAUGUUGAAAAUUAGCGGAUGACCUGUGGCUGGGGGUGAAAGGCCAAUCAAACCGGGAGAUAGCUGGUUCUCCCCGAAAGCUAUUUAGGUAGCGCCUCGUGAAUUCAUCUCCGGGGGUAGAGCACUGUUUCGGCUAGGGGGCCAUCCCGGCUUACCAACCCGAUGCAAACUGCGAAUACCGGAGAAUGUUAUCACGGGAGACACACGGCGGGUGCUAACG